This 549-nucleotide ribosomal RNA is filed under the name uncultured bacterium. RNAcentral describes it as "bacterial SSU rRNA". It matches the Rfam family "Bacterial small subunit ribosomal RNA", at positions 770 to 1335 of the family's 1533-position model. The record is from RNAcentral.
ACCCAAUAGAUACCCUGGUAGUCCACGCCGUAAACGAUGGAUGCUAGCUGUACGGAGUAUCGACCCUCUGUGUAGCGAAAGCUAACGCGUUAAGCAUCCCGCCUGUGGAGUACGAGCGCAAGCUUAAAACAUAAAGGAAUUGACGGGGACCCGCACAAGCGGUGGAGUGUGUUGUUUAAUUCGAGGAUAAGCGAAGAACCUUACCCAGGUUUGACAUCCUACUAAUUUCUCCGAAAGGAGAAAGUGCCUUCGGGCCGUAGUGACAGGUGAUGCAUGGCCGUCGUCAGCUCGUGUCGUGAGAUGUUUGGUUAAGUCCAUCAACGAGCGCAACCCUUAUAAAUAGUUGAAUUUUUCUAUUUAGACCGCCUCGGUAACGGGGAGGAAGGAGGGGAUGAUGUCAGGUCAGUAUUUCCCUUACAUCUGGGGCUACAAACACGCUACAAUGGCCGGUACAAAGGGCAGCCAAGUCGCGAGACGGAGCAAAUCCCAUCAAAGCCGGUCCCAGUUCGGAUUGCAGGCUGAAACUCGCCUGCAUGAAGCCGGAAUCGC